ACUGAUGUAUUCAUCGAGUUUAUAGUCUUGACCGACAGGCCGGGUAAUCUUUGAAAUUUCAUUGUGACGGGGAUAGAUCAUUACAAUUGUUGGUCUUCAAC
This 101-nucleotide non-coding RNA is filed under the name Nicotiana sylvestris (wood tobacco). Lineage: Eukaryota; Viridiplantae; Streptophyta; Magnoliopsida; Solanales; Solanaceae. The record is from Rfam by way of RNAcentral.